UGGGGAAUAUUGGGCAAUGGGCGCAAGCCUGACCCAGCAACGCCGCGUGAGGGAAGAAGGCUUUCGGGUUGUAAACCUCUGUCCUUGGUGACGAAAAAAAUGACGGUAGCCAAGGAGGAAGCCCCGGCUAACUACGUGCCAGCAGCCGCGGUAAUACGUAGGGGGCGAGCGUUGUCCGGAAUUACUGGGCGUAAAGGGUGCGUAGGUGGCCUUUUAAGUUGGAUGUGAAAUACCCGGGCUUAACUUGGGGGGUGCAUCCAAAACUGGGAGGCUAGAGUGCAGGAGAGGAAAGCGGAAUUCCUAGUGUAGCGGUGAAAUGCGUAGAUAUUAGGAGGAACACCAGUGGCGAAGGCGGCUUUCUGGACUGUAACUGACACUGAGGCACGAAAGCGUGGGGAGCAAACA
This 405-nucleotide ribosomal RNA is filed under the name uncultured prokaryote. RNAcentral describes it as "bacterial SSU rRNA". It matches the Rfam family "Bacterial small subunit ribosomal RNA", at positions 355 to 774 of the family's 1533-position model. The record is from RNAcentral.